Molecule: ribosomal RNA, 255 nt
Filed under: uncultured bacterium
Lineage: Bacteria
Description: partial 16S ribosomal RNA
Rfam family: Bacterial small subunit ribosomal RNA
Source: RNAcentral
GACGUAGGGCGCGAGCGUUGUCCGGAUUUAUUGGGCGUAAAGAGCUCGUAGGCGGCUUGUCGCGUCGACUGUGAAAACCCGCGGCUUAACUGCGGGACUGCAGCCGAUACGGGCAGGCUAGAGUUCGGUAGGGGAGACUGGAAUUCCUGGUGUAGCGGUGAAAUGCGCAGAUAUCAAGGAGGAACACCGGUGGCGAAGGCGGGUCUCUGGGCCGAAUACUGACGCUGAGGAGCGAAAGCGUGGGGAGCGAACAGG